Molecule: ribosomal RNA, 497 nt
Filed under: uncultured bacterium
Lineage: Bacteria
Description: partial 16S ribosomal RNA
Rfam family: Bacterial small subunit ribosomal RNA
Source: RNAcentral
GAUGAACGCUGGCGGCGUGCCUAAUACAUGCAAGUCGAGCGAACGGACGAGAAGCUUGCUUCUCUGAUGUUAGCGGCGGACGGGUGAGUAACACGUGGAUAACCUACCUAUAAGACUGGGAUAACUUCGGGAAACCGGAGCUAAUACCGGAUAAUAUUUUGAACCGCAUGGUUCAAAAGUGAAAGACGGUCUUGCUGUCACUUAUAGAUGGAUCCGCGCUGCAUUAGCUAGUUGGUAAGGUAACGGCUUACCAAGGCAACGAUGCAUAGCCGACCUGAGAGGGUGAUCCGCCACACGGGAACUGAGACACGGUCCAGACUCCGACGGGAGGCAGCAGUAGGGAAUCUUCCGCAAUGGGCGAAAGCCUGACGGUGCAACGCCGCGUGAGUGAUGAAGGUCUUCGGAUCGGAAAACUCUGUUAUUAGGGAAGAACAUAUGUGUAAGUAACUGUGCACAUCUUGACGGUACCUAAUCAGAAAGCCACGGCUAACUACGUG